GUGUCAGCAGCCGCGGUAAUACAGAGGUCCCAAGCGUUGUUCGGAUUCACUGGGCGUAAAGGGUGCGUAGGUGGUCAGGUAAGUCGGAUGUGAAAUCUCCGAGCUCAACUCGGAAACUGCAUUGGAAACUACCUGGCUCGAGGGUUGGAGGGGGGACUGGAAUGCUUGGUGUAGCAGUGAAAUGCGUAGAUAUCAAGCGGAACACCAGUGGCGAAGGCGAGUCCCUGGACAACUCCUGACACUGAUGCACGAAAGCUAGGGGAGCAAACAGGAUUAGAUACCCUGGUAGUCC
RNAcentral lists this ribosomal RNA (292 nucleotides) under uncultured bacterium. Its description in RNAcentral is "partial 16S ribosomal RNA". It matches the Rfam family "Bacterial small subunit ribosomal RNA", at positions 505 to 796 of the family's 1533-position model. The record is from RNAcentral.